AUACCAUGAAUGUGCCACAGGUGGUCCAGGAACUUUUUCAGGGUUUAUGAAAUGAGAUGAAAUUAUAGUAGAGGCUUUACCACCUGGAGUUUAUCAGCUGUGUCUGCUUGCCCUUCUAAAUGAAACCAUUCUUUGGAACAUCUUGAUCACUUCAUGUUCAUCACAUUGACUUCCUAAGUCAGGUAAGUCCUCCAGGGUCUCCUUACUUGAAUCAUUGUCUGGUAAUAUGAUUGUACCUGGGAUCAUUAGGAAACUUUUCUUUUCUCUGAGAAAC
This 274-nucleotide long non-coding RNA is filed under the name Calidris pugnax (ruff). RNAcentral's name for it is "lncRNA (ENSCPUG00000010193.1)". The record is from RNAcentral. Lineage: Eukaryota; Metazoa; Chordata; Aves; Charadriiformes; Scolopacidae.